CGGCUAUGAUGACCCAGAACAUUUCUCGAUUCUGAUAAGGACCAAAGCAAAUGUAUUGCUCUUUGAUGACAGUGUUUGUGCGUGUCUGAGCCUU
Abrus precatorius (Indian licorice) is the source of this 94-nucleotide small nucleolar RNA. RefSeq annotates it as small nucleolar RNA snoR126. The transcript has a single exon. The record is from RefSeq and is a predicted model, not a curated record. Lineage: Eukaryota; Viridiplantae; Streptophyta; Magnoliopsida; Fabales; Fabaceae.